AAACUUUACAAUGCGCGAAAGCGCGAUAAGGGGACCCCGAGUGCGAGGGCAUAACGUCCUCGCUUUUGUAUAUCGUAAGAAGAUACACGAAUAAGGGCUGGGCAAGACCGGUGCCAGCCGCCGCGGUAAUACCGGCAGCUCGAGUGAUGAUCACUAUUAUUGGGCCUAAAGCGUCCGUAGCCGGUCGAACAAGUCCUUCGGUAAAUCCACUCGCUCAACGAGUGGGCUCUCGAGGGAAACUGUUCGACUUGGGGCCGGGAGAUCUGAGGGGUACGUCUAGGGUAGGAGUGAAAUCCUGUAAUCCUAGACGGACCGCCGGUGGCGAAAGCGCCUCAGAAGAACGGACCCGACGGUCAGGGACGAAAGCUAGGGUCUCGAACCGGAUUAGAUACCCGGGUAGUCCUAGCCGUAAACGAUGCUCGCUAGGUGUUGCGAAAGCUACGUGCUUUUGCUGUGCCGUAGGGAAGCCGUGAAGCGAGCCGCCUGGGAAGUACGUCCGCAAGGAUGAAACUUAA
RNAcentral lists this ribosomal RNA (515 nucleotides) under uncultured archaeon. RNAcentral describes it as "bacterial SSU rRNA". It matches the Rfam family "Archaeal small subunit ribosomal RNA", at positions 345 to 859 of the family's 1478-position model. The record is from RNAcentral.